CGUUCAGGGACCCUGAUUUGCAUAGAUGUGGUUCUGGGAUUAAUCAGUCAGGAUCUUGAUUUUGACAUCUCUGAUUUGGUGCGCUGCAUGAGACUACAAAGACACGGAAUGGUUCAGACAGAGGAUCAAUAUAUUUUCUGCUAUCAAGUCAUCCUUUAUGUCCUGACACGUCUUCAAGCAGAAGAAGAGCAAAAACAGCAGCCUCAGCUUCUGAAGUGACAUGAAAAGAGCCUCUGGAUGCAUUUCCAUUUCUCUCCUUAACCUCCAGCAGACUCCUGCUCUCUAUCCAAAAUAAAGAUCACAGAGCAGCAAGUUCAUACAACAUGCAUGUUCUCCUCUAUCUUAGAGGGGUAUUCUUCUUGAAAAUAAAAAAUAUUGAAAUGCUGUAUUUUUACAGCUACUUUAACCUAUGAUAAUUAUUUACAAAAUUUUAACACUAACCAAACAAUGCAGAUCUUAGGGAUGAUUAAAGGCAGCAUUUGAUGAUAGCAGACAUUGUUACAAGGACAUGGUGAGUCUAUUUUUAAUGCACCAAUCUUGUUUAUAGCAAAAAUGUUUUCCAAUAUUUUAAUAAAGUAGUUAUUUUAUAGGGGAUACUUGAAACCAGUAUUUAAGCUUUAAAUGACAGUAAUAUUGGCAUAGAAAAAAGUAGCAAAUGUUUACUGUAUCAAUUUCUAAUGUUUACUAUAUAGAAUUUCCUGUAAUAUAUUUAUAUACUUUUUCAUGAAAAUGGAGUUAUCAGUUAUCUGUUUGUUACUGCAUCAUCUGUUUGUAAUCAUUAUCUCACUUUGUAAAUAAAAACACACC
This 807-nucleotide long non-coding RNA is filed under the name Homo sapiens (human). Its description in RNAcentral is "HSALNT0074649". Lineage: Eukaryota; Metazoa; Chordata; Mammalia; Primates; Hominidae. The record is from RNAcentral.